UGCGUAGGCGGUUAACUAAGUUUGGUGUGAAAUCUCCCGGCUUAACUGGGAGGGUGCGCCGAAAACUGGCUAGCUAGAGUGUGGGAGAGGAUAGUGGAAUUCCUGGUGUAGCGGUGAAAUGCGUAGAUAUCAGGAGGAACACCUGCGGUGUAGACGGCUAUCUGGACCAUGACUGACGCUGAGGCACGAAAGCGUGGGUAGCAAAC
This 206-nucleotide ribosomal RNA is filed under the name uncultured bacterium. RNAcentral describes it as "partial 16S ribosomal RNA". It matches the Rfam family "Bacterial small subunit ribosomal RNA", at positions 568 to 773 of the family's 1533-position model. The record is from RNAcentral.